CCCUGGUGGCUCACAGGUUAAAGCGUCUGCCUCCAAUGCAGAGAGACCUGGGUUCGAUCCCUGGAUCGGGAA
This is a non-coding RNA of Ovis aries (sheep), 72 nucleotides long. Lineage: Eukaryota; Metazoa; Chordata; Mammalia; Artiodactyla; Bovidae. The record is from Rfam.